GUGGACCAGCAGUUUGAGCAGUACUUCCGCGACGAGAGCGGCCUCAACCGAAAGAACAUCCAAGACAACCGAGUGCACUGCUGCCUGUACUUCAUCUCCCCCUUCGGGCAUGGGCUGCGGCCAGUGGAUGUGGGUUUCAUGAAGGCGUUGCAUGAGAAGGUCAACAUCGUGCCUCUCAUCGCCAAAGCUGACUGUCUUGUCCCCAGUGAGAUCCGGAAGCUGAAGGAGCGGAUCCGGGAGGAGAUUGACAAGUUUGGGAUCCAUGUAUACCAGUUCCCUGACUGUGACUCGGACGAGGAUGAGGACUUCAAGCAGCAGGACCGGGAACUGAAGGAGAGCGCGCCCUUCGCCGUUAUAGGCAGCAACACGGUGGUGGAGGCCAAGGGGCAGCGGGUCCGGGGCCGACUGUACCCUUGGGGGAUCGUGGAGGGUGAGUAGAAUCUUGGGGUACCAGGUCUGGGGGGUGAAGGCUGUCCUGGGCCGGCGCCAGCCCACCACCCACCCCCACUCCGCAGUGGAGAACCAGGCGCACUGCGACUUCGUGAAGCUGCGCAACAUGCUCA
This 563-nucleotide small RNA is filed under the name Pongo abelii (Sumatran orangutan). Its description in RNAcentral is "retained intron". The record is from RNAcentral. Lineage: Eukaryota; Metazoa; Chordata; Mammalia; Primates; Hominidae.